UGGAUUUUUCAGCCCAGCCUACCAUUAAG
RNAcentral lists this non-coding RNA (29 nucleotides) under Mus musculus (house mouse). Lineage: Eukaryota; Metazoa; Chordata; Mammalia; Rodentia; Muridae. The record is from RNAcentral.